UCCCCCCAAUUUACACUCACUUUCACACACAGACGCCAAGAAAGAAACCAUACGCCAAGAAAGAAAGAAACCAUUUUUUCACAUCCUCAGUAGUAAAAACCCUAAUCUUCGAUCGCUCUCCUCUUCCGCUCUCUAAAACCCUAAUAUCCGAUCCUCCAGAUCGCUUCGCCCAUCAAAUCCCCGCUCCCCAAUCGCUAAGCUUUCCUAUUGCGCCACCAAUUUUCCUCCUAGGGUUUGUUCUGAUUGAAAUUCCGUCAAGGCUGGCGGCUACCCGGGUCAUGUAAAUGGCGGAUCCGCCAACAAUCCGCCCCUGCAAGCGUUGUGUUACAGUUACAGAUACAGUUACGGGCGGUAGCAUAGGAAGCAGAAGCAGCAGCAGAAGGAGAAGAGUGGUGUUGAUAGGGUCAGAGAGUUGUGAAGAUUGCGAAGAGUGAAGCAUGCUGAGCGUGGUGCGAGUGCACCUCCCUUCCGAUAUUCCCAUCGUAGGAUGUGAGUUAACACCUUAUGUGCUCCUCCGCCGCCCUGACAGGACCGUUACCACCGAUGAUGUUUCCGAGAUCAACCCCUUAGAUGGCCAUUUCUUGCGUUACAAGUGGUAUCGUGUACAAAGUGAUAAAAAAGUUGCUGUCUGUAGCAUACAUCCAUCCGAGCAGGCCACACUGCAGUGCCUAGGUUGUGUUAAGGCUAAAAUACCUGUUGCCAAAAGUUACCAUUGCACUCCAAAGUGUUUUUCAGAUGCAUGGCAGCAUCAUCGUGUCUUACAUGACCGUGCUGCAAGCGCAGUUAAUGACAACGGAAAUGAAGAGGAGGAGUUAUUUGGGCGAUUUAAUAAUUCUGGUUCUGGAUCUUCCAAUACCACCUUAUCUGCCUCUGCUUCAAGUGCUAGCCUGACAAAUGGAGCUGCACCUGUGUAUCCGGCAGCAGUUACACAACGAAGUGGUGGUGAAACGUGGUUUGAAGUUGGACGUUCUAAGACAUACACCCCUACUGCUGAUGACAUUGGUCAUGUACGUCGAAUGAUACCUGUUGAUGGGAUGGGGCAUUUAGAUGCAGAAGGGCGUAUAACAUCUUCGGGAUCUUUUACGGUUCUAUCAUACAACAUAUUGUCUGAUUCAUAUGCCUCAAGUGAAUUAUACAAUUACUGCCCUUCAUGGGCUCUUUCGUGGCCUUAUCGCCGGCAAAAUUUGUUACGAGAAAUAGUUGGUUACCGUGCUGAUAUUAUUUGUCUUCAGGAGGUUCAAAGUGAUCAUUAUGAGGAAUUUUUUGCCCCUGAACUGGAUAAACAUGGUUAUUAUGGUCUUUACAAGAAAAAAACAAAUGAGGUAUUCCUUGGUAAUGCCAAUACAAUUGAUGGUUGUGCGACAUUUUUUCGUAGAGACAGAUUUUCACAUGUGAAAAAAUACGAGGUUGAAUUUAAUAAGGCUGCACAGUCAUUAACAGAUGCAAUGAUUCCAACCUCUCAGAGGAAAACUGCCUUGAAUCGGCUGGUUAAGGAUAAUGUUGCACUAAUAGUUGUACUAGAAGCAAAGGUAAACAAUCAGCCUGUUGACAAUCCUGGGAAAAGACAGCUUCUUUGUGUGGCAAAUACACAUGUCAAUGUGCAUGACGAUUUAAAGGAUGUCAAACUCUGGCAGGUGCAUACACUUUUAAAAGGAUUGGAGAAAAUCGCUGCCAGUGCGGACAUUCCAAUGUUGGUUUGUGGAGACUUUAACUCAGUUCCAGGAAGUGCUCCUCAUUCUCUUCUUGCAAUGGGAAAAGUAGAUCCUUCACAUCCUGACUUAGCUGUUGACCCACUUACUAUAUUGCACCCUCGUACCAAGUUGGUUCACCAAUUGCCACUGGUCAGUGCAUAUUCAUCUUUUGCAAGAACAAUUGGUGUUGGGUAUGAGCAGCAUAGACGGAGAUUGGACAGCACAACAAAUGAACCUUUAUUCACCAAUGUCACUAGAGAUUUUAUUGGAUCUCUAGAUUACAUAUUCUACACAGCGGAUUCCUUGGUUGUGGAGUCGUUGUUGGAGCUAUUGGACGAGGAAAGUUUGAGGAAGGAUACAGCUCUUCCUUCACCUGAGUGGUCCUCAGAUCAUAUAGCUCUCUUAGCUGAGUUCCGCUGCUGCAAAAAUAGAUCUAGGCGCUGACUCAUAAGGUCGGAUCCGGAUAUACGUAAACAAAAAGGUUGAAAGAAUCAAGCAUUUAGUUGACAAGAUAUUGUAAGAGUGGUAGAUCAUGGCCUUUGUCUUUUUUCCCAGAGAUACUUUGAUGAUGAACGAACUAACAAAGUCGGAAUGAACCUCAUGAUACCAUCAACGACGUGUGAAUAUAAUUAUUGCACUGGUUAAAAAUUCCACCAAGUCAAGGAGGUGGUUCUUCUAGUUCAACUCUGAAACCCUUUUGCACUGUAUUUCUAUCGGCUUGUGGUGCAUGUCCCUUGUAACAUUAACUGAUAGAGUGAUAUUAAACAUCCGUUAAGUAAGCAGUGAAGAUUAAUGUUGUAGCACAGGACAAGGACGAUGAAGAGCCACUAGGGAGCUGAGAUUGAGUGAAAAUGUUGUUCCCAAAUGACAAAGUACGCCGAUGGGGAAAGGGAAAAGAGCCGCCAUAGAUGGUUUUUUGAGUUGGAAUAGUGUUGUGUUUUAGAGCUUCUAAUGUCAAUCUCUAUUGCCGGAAUUUUUAUACGGUUGUUUGAUAUAUAAAUGUAAGAUUGUAAUGUUUGUAUGAUAGUAUGAUGGGAGUAGCAAUAUUCAUUUUAUAA
RNA transcript from Arachis duranensis, 2749 nucleotides. It is a transcript of the gene named carbon catabolite repressor protein 4 homolog 1, with no coding region annotated. The transcript is spliced from 14 exons. NCBI's taxonomy places the organism in Eukaryota, Viridiplantae, Streptophyta, Magnoliopsida, Fabales, Fabaceae. The record is from RefSeq and is a predicted model, not a curated record.